GCGACCCCAGGAUGGGCGAGGCCACCCGCUGAGUUUAAGGAAUAUC
RNAcentral lists this ribosomal RNA (46 nucleotides) under Dendrobium ruckeri. Its description in RNAcentral is "partial 26S ribosomal RNA". Lineage: Eukaryota; Viridiplantae; Streptophyta; Magnoliopsida; Asparagales; Orchidaceae. The record is from RNAcentral.